This 497-nucleotide ribosomal RNA is filed under the name uncultured bacterium. RNAcentral describes it as "bacterial SSU rRNA". It matches the Rfam family "Bacterial small subunit ribosomal RNA", at positions 29 to 516 of the family's 1533-position model. The record is from RNAcentral.
AACAAACGCUGGCGGCGUGUCUUAAGCAUGCAAGUUGAGCGGCAAGGAGGAGAGAUCCUCCCUAGAGCGGCGGACUGGUGAGUAACGCGUGGGUAAUCUAUCGUAGGCAUGGGGAUAGUCACUAGAAAUAGUGGGUAAUACCGAAUACGUUCCAUGAGGGGAGUAUUCAUGGAAGAAAGGGUGCUACGGCACUGGCCUUAGGUGAGCUCGCGUCCCAUUAGCUAGUUGGUGAGGUAAAGGCCCACCAAGGCGAUGAUGGGUAGCCGGCCUGAGAGGGUGUACGGCCACACUGGGACUGAGAUACGGCCCAGACUCCUACGGGAGGCAGGCAGCUAAGAAUAUUCCGCAAUGGACGAAAGUCUGACGGAGCGACGCCGCGUGGAUGAAGAAGGCCGAAAGGUUGUAAAGUUCUUUUGCUAGGGGAAAUAAGUGAGGGAGGGAAUGCCUAUGGAUGACAAGGACUAGCGAAUAAGCCCCGGCAACUACGGCCAGGCACG